UCCUACGGGACGCAGCAGUAGGGAAUCUUCCACAAUGGACGAAAGUCUGAUGGAGCAACGCCGCGUGAGUGAAGAAGGGUUUCGGCUCGUAAAGCUCUCUUGGUAGUGAAGAAAGAUAGAGGUAGUAACUGGCCUUUCUUUGACGGUAAUUACUUAGAAAGUCACGGCUAACUACGUGCCAGCAGCCGCGGUAAUACGUAGGGGGCAAGCGUUGUCCUGCUUUAUUGGGCGUAAAGCGAGUGCAGGCGGUUUCA
This 254-nucleotide ribosomal RNA is filed under the name uncultured bacterium. RNAcentral describes it as "partial 16S ribosomal RNA". It matches the Rfam family "Bacterial small subunit ribosomal RNA", at positions 337 to 583 of the family's 1533-position model. The record is from RNAcentral.